GACGAACGCUGGCGGCGUGCUUAACACAUGCAAGUCGAGCGGUAAGGCCCUUUCGGGGGUACACGAGCGGCGAACGGGUGAGUAACACGUGGGUGACCUGCCCUCAGCUCUGGGAUAAGCCUGGGAAACCGGGUCUAAUACCGGAUAUGACUCCAUGACGCAUGUUGUGGGGUGGAAAGCCUUGUGCGGCUGAGGAUGGGCCCGCGGCCUAUCAGCUUGUUGGUGGGGUGANGGCCUACCAAGGCGACGACGGGUAGCCGGCCUGAGAGGGCGACCGGCCACACUGGGACUGAGACACGGCCCAGACUCCUACGGGAGGCAGCAGUGGGGAAUCCUGCGCAAUGGGCGAAAGCCUGACGCAGCGACGCCGCGUGAGGGUAAAAAAGCGGCCGUC
RNAcentral lists this ribosomal RNA (394 nucleotides) under uncultured bacterium. RNAcentral's name for it is "bacterial SSU rRNA". It matches the Rfam family "Bacterial small subunit ribosomal RNA", at positions 28 to 423 of the family's 1533-position model. The record is from RNAcentral.